RNAcentral lists this long non-coding RNA (232 nucleotides) under Mytilus galloprovincialis (Mediterranean mussel). The record is from RNAcentral. Lineage: Eukaryota; Metazoa; Mollusca; Bivalvia; Mytilida; Mytilidae.
UGGUGCUUAGCGGGCUGAUAUGAAAAGUUUAUCACAUGCUUCGAACGUUAUCACAUGCCUUUCCGUAACGUUAUCACAUGGCAUUCCGGUGAUACUCGGCAAAUUCCGGAAAAUACACCUCAAUGCUACGUUUUUAGUGAAACAUUACCAUGAAGUGUACAAAACAAUUAUUUGGAUACUGGAAAGUAUAUUGUGUAAAAUAAUUAAAAAAAUAAAUUAUUAAGUAAAUGCA